CGCACAUUGCGCCCUUUGGUAUUCCAAAGGGCAUGCCUGUUCGAGCGUCAUUUGUACCCUCAAGCUUUGCUUGGUGUUGGGCGUUUUUGUCUUUGGUCGCCCAAAGACUCGCCUUAAAGUGAUUGGCAGCCGGCCUUUCUGGUUUCGCAGCGCAGCACAUUUUUGCGCUUGCCAUCAGCAAAACGGCAAUCCAUCAAGCCUCCUUCUCACGUUUGACCUCGGAUCAGGUAGGGAUACCCGCUGAACUUAA
Molecule: unclassified non-coding RNA, 250 nt
Filed under: Curvularia lunata
Lineage: Eukaryota; Fungi; Ascomycota; Dothideomycetes; Pleosporales; Pleosporaceae
Description: partial contains 5.8S ribosomal RNA, internal transcribed spacer 2, and large subunit ribosomal RNA
Source: RNAcentral